This 388-nucleotide ribosomal RNA is filed under the name uncultured bacterium. Its description in RNAcentral is "bacterial SSU rRNA". It matches the Rfam family "Bacterial small subunit ribosomal RNA", at positions 28 to 415 of the family's 1533-position model. The record is from RNAcentral.
GACGAACGCUGGCGGCGUGCCUAACACAUGCAAGUCGAACGGGGUUGUUCCUUCGGGGACAACUUAGUGGCGAACGGGUGAGUAACGCGUGAGGAACCUGCCUUUCAGUGGGGGACAACAGUUGGAAACGACUGCUAAUACCGCAUAAUGUUGUCGGAUGGCAUCAUCUGGCAACCAAAGCUUUAUGUGCUGAAAGAUGGCCUCGCGUCUGAUUAGAUAGUUGGUGAGGUAACGGCUCACCAAGUCGACGAUCAGUAGCCGGACUGAGAGGUUGAUCGGCCACAUUGGGACUGAGACACGGCCCAGACUCCUACGGGAGGCAGCAGUGGGGAAUAUUGCGCAAUGGGGGGAAACCCUGACGCAGCAACGCCGCGUGAAGGAAGAAGGG